GGUGACUGUGCGGCAGGGGGCUUUCGGCUUCGAGGGAGAGAGUCUCACCAUUUCUUACCUAUAGGAAAAAUACCCAUUGCGCAUCUGAGAAUUUAGAGGAUGAGGUUUCAUCAUGUUCCCCAGGCUGGUCUCAUACUCCUGAGUUCAAGCAAUCCACCUGCCUUGGCCACCCAAAGUGCUGGGAUUACAGGUGUGAGCUACUGCGUCUAGCCCUCUUCCAUCGUUUUCAAGGAGGGAUCAGGGGUCAGCUGUUCGCAACUUGGGACUUCUCUCAUGUAGCAGAGUGUACACCUGCUGCCCCAGCAAGGCCUUCACAAUGAUCCAAGCCUGGCCUGUUGCUCCAGCUUCUGGAACCUCCCAUGGCCUUCGGUCUACUUGAAUGCUCCUGAGGCCAGGUAGCUCAUCACUGCCGGAGGACCUGUUGCCACUCACUUCUAGCCACAAGAAAUGUCUGCCUGUCCUGAGCAAAACCCACCUUGGAGGAACUUCUUUACUCCCUUGUUGAAUUUUUGGCUCUACCAAAUAAACAUGAAUUGCUUCCCUGUGAAAGACCUCCAAACACUUUCCUCUGCCUGUGUGUUGUUCAUCAGUGGUGUAGCCGAAUCCAGGGCGAGGAGGACCUGCAUUUUAGCUGGUGUUAACCAGAGUGGAGGGAGGAUUAGGAGUGGCCUUUGGGUGGACAGGAGGUAUGACAGGCUGCAGAUGGUGGAGCAAGCCUUGCUGUGCCCCCGACCCAGCUCGACAUGCACACGUGGGUGGUUCUGGCUCCCUGGGUGGGAAGAAUGGUGGGGUGGGUGGGCAUUGUGAGCCUGGCAACCAGACCCCACGGAAUAGCAGGGAGGAGGAGGAAGGAGGACGCCCUCCAAGAAACAGUGGAGUGAAACCUUAGUGCCUACUUCACAGCCCAUCUGGGGUCUCUCCCUGCUUGCUUCUGGGCAGAGGGUGUCCAUUAUACCACAAGCACAACCUUGAAAUGUGCUGGAGCAGGAAGUCGCGCAGGACCUCAUUCCCCAGGACUUUCCAUACAUGAGGAAUGCAGGGCUGAGCAGGUGAGAUGCGGCGGUGGGAGGCAUGCCGCCUGCUCCCUCUCCUGAUUCACUGGGGUUUUGGGCUGCAGGCAGUCAGAAGGUCUCAUUUUGGGGGGUUCUCAGCAAUAGAUGGGGAUACAGUAGGAGGGCAAAGUCACAGAAAUUCUCUGCCGGAACUCCAAGACGCAGGGGCUGGGAACCGUCUGCAGGACCCAGACCCAGAGUUGGACCAGGAUUAAAGGUGGUGGGGGGUGUGGGGUGCCGAAUGUGAAGAACAGAACGGAAGUGCAGGAAGACAGCCCGACCUCCAGGAGACACCAUCACUCUCGGUGUUUCCCUCCCUGUGUUUCUUUCUUCCAAGAAAGGGUAUUUCCAAGAGGACAGAUUGGUUGACCAAAAGGCCAUUUUAUUUCUACUUUAUAAAAAUAGAUGAAAGGAGACUUGAAAUUAUUUUGCCUCUUACAUCACUGGGUUUGGGUUCUGGAAGUCCCUGGAGGGUGCGCCUGUAGCCCAGACUUCACAGGUAGACAUGGAGGUCAUGCAGGUCACAUGGCUGGUUGACACCUGUAAAGCUAUGAUGGCCAAGCAGAACUUUGCCGGGUAUCUCUGGUCCUAUUCCCUCCCCCGGGUCAUCUGCCUCCCUCCUGGAAUUGAUUGAUUAAGUGCUGUCCCUCCAUUUCGUCUAAUAGACCACGGGAAGGAUAGGCCAAACAAGAAGGGCCUACUUCAACUUACAAGUCAAGUCACGGUUUCAGAACACCUUAUCUCCAACCUCUGUCCUCACCACAAGCCAGCCCGACAAUGUCCUCAUCCGAUUUUCUCAAAA
Molecule: long non-coding RNA, 1854 nt
Filed under: Homo sapiens (human)
Lineage: Eukaryota; Metazoa; Chordata; Mammalia; Primates; Hominidae
Description: HSALNT0274001
Source: RNAcentral